AUUGUUCUAGGAGUUGUGGUGAAUAACAAAUUAAAAUUAUUUGGCUAGUAGAUCGGGGGCAUCAGGAACGUAGAUGUUUUUCUUUCGAAGGUAAGAAAAUUCGCUCCGAAGUAGACUUCUCAGAGACAUUUUGGGCUGUAGCUCGCAGGGGGCACAUAUUUUCAGAGUUGCACAAUUUCUGGCAAAGCUUUCCCCCUAAUGGUCAAUCAUUGCCUUUGGCGCCACUGUAUGGAAGAGAUGCACAAACUUGAAUAACUGUAAAAGAAUAAACGAUCGUAUGACCACCUUGUAUUGUAUCGUUGGGGUACCGGCCAAAGACUCACUAACCGUCAAGUUAGUAAGCAAUUUAUGAGACUCAAACAGUAUGCAAGAAAAUAGAGUAUGCGAUAAUUGCGUUAACCCUAGCAAGGUGUAUUAAUAUUUAAUACUAGUCGAGAGAGAGUCCUUUCAGGAUAUAAAAUCCGCAUUAAACCAAGAGAAUGCUAAAGGAUAUCUAGAAGUAAAUAUUGCAUCAUCUUAAAAGUGAGAAAUUUUUAGUUAUGACGGGAACACAAGUGGUACAUCACGUGUUUUAAUAGGAGUGGUGAAAAAUUUUAUUUUUUAAGUUAUUAACUUUUUAGCACACAUAUCCCAUCAUUUGUAUAGUGACACAUGGUGUUGUACCGGUCACAUUGAAAAAUCUCUCCUUAAAAGUAUGAUUACUUACAGCGCACAUCAAUCAUUUGACAAUAAAAAAUUAAGCAAUUGAAUGGUUUCAAUUUACUAGACAACAAAUUGUCCAAGUCCAACGAUCUACAAAAACGAUAACUCUAUAGCUACAAAAACAAAACCAGUAGAAAAAAGAAAUGAAGAAAGACAACGAACCUUGAUGCCUGCAAGGUUGUUCCUGUGAUUCGAUGAUCUAGGCUUCAUAAUAAUCUAAGGGUGUGUUUGUUUGGCCUUACUAACUUUCACUAGACUAGAUUGGAUUAGCUAAUAGUGAAAUUCCGUGUUUGUUGCGUGCACAGACUAAAGUUAAUGAAACUAAAGGGGAUUUGCUCCAACUAUCUCCCUCGCUACAAGGUCUUAGCGAGAGCCCCCCAAGCGCAUGGGACUGCUAAGCCCUUCAUUUGGUAUGUCCUUGUCUCCUCUCAUCCACUAUUUGUUCUUUGUUUUCUUGAGCACCGACAACCACCAUGACACCACCACUUCCAACUUUAGUGAGAUACACCGCUAGCCUAACACCACUUUCUCUCUCUCACCUCGAACCCAGAAUUUCGAACGAGGAAAAUCCCGCUCUAGCAGUCCUCCGAUUCACCUUCGAGGAAUAUCUCACUCUAGCACUCCUUGAUUCAAUUCCUCCGAGUUUCUAGAGGUUAAUCCCUUGAUUUCCUGUAAAAAAAAAAAAAAAAUUGGGGGGGGGGUGGUUAAUUUUGUUUGGUUAGUAGGAAAGCUGAGAAAUUGGUUUCUAUCGAGAUCCAAGGAAAGCAAGCAUCCUUGGCAAUUUUUGGUAGAAUUGUAGAUGAAGAAGAAACAAAACGAAAAGGCUUGAAUUUGUUGCAAGCAUUGAUGGACAAAAAGGGAAAAUUGGUGGUCUGGGAUUUAUUUAGGGAAAUAUGGAGAUCAUGCAGUUUAUGGAACUCUCUAGAUAGAGCCCGUGAAAAUAUCUGAAUCAAAAGUAAUAAAAUAAUUAAAAAGUAGUAAAAAAAUAUUUAGAUUCUAAAAAUAAUUUAGUCUGUGACUUGGUUCGACAUUGCACCAAACGUUUCACUAUUCUUGUCCUGCUUAGUCCAUGCCAAGCCAGUCCAGCUUAAUUCCUUAAGCUAGUCCAGUUCGAGAUAGUCCAUUGCAACAAAUGCACCCUAAAAGAUAAUUUUUAAUUCUUUGUAGGGCUUUUAAACCUCGUGCGGAAUGCAAAGAAAUUAUAUAUUGGAUGUUGGAAUCCCGAAAAUUAAAUAAAAACUAAAAACUACUGAUUAAAGCAUAUUAGGGAAAGGAAAGAAGAGAGCCACUUAAGGACUAGGAUGGGCAUGGCCCGUCCUGAUUUUUUUUUUUAAAAUUGAUUCAUAUAUAACCAGAUGGAGAGUACCAAUUGGUAACUUGAUCUUCCAAUGAUUAUCACUGACCCUCUAACAAUUGCAUGUCAUGAUUGAUCAAUUUUUAGUUGUGACGGGCAGGGGCGAAGCUAGGAUUUCUCGGGGGGAGGGGCAAACCUAAAAGAGUGAAAGGUUAAAGAAAAAUGGAAACAACUAAAUCUUUUUAUAUGGUAAUAUCUUCCAUAAUUAAUCAAAAUGUUUGAAGAAGGAUUUAAGCAUUGUUUCUUAUAGUAUCGUUCCAUUACGUAACUGUAAAAUGGAAAGAAAAAAAAUCUUAGAAUCUUAAUCCUAGAGUACACUAUACUAAUAUGCAUAAUAACUAGUCCAACUAACUAUUCAACCAAUCCAACCAAUUGCAUAAACUCCAAAUAAUUAACCCUAAUAUGCAUAAUAACUAAUCCAACCAACAAUUCAAUUAAUCAAUACCAAUAACUCAAUAAGCAUACAAAUUAUUCAAUAAAUAAAAAUUCAAUUCAACUAAACAUAUGAAUAAGAAUAAUUGUAUACAUUAUGGAAUAAUUCAAUUAAUUAAUUAAGAAUCAAGAAUUCAAAUUUUAAUUUUCACCCUAAAAAAUAAUUUCAUAUCAAUAAUCAUAGAAUCAUAUCAAUAAUCAAUAAUCAAUAACCAAUAACCAUAUUAUUAGUGCAUUACCAUAUGAUUUUAUACGAAUUAAAACUCAUUUGUAUUAAAUAAUUAAUUAGGGUUAGGGAUUAUAAAUUUAGGAAUUAAAAAAUUUAC
RNAcentral lists this long non-coding RNA (2814 nucleotides) under Malus domestica (apple). RNAcentral's name for it is "long non-coding RNA (MDOM_LNC004968)". The record is from RNAcentral. Lineage: Eukaryota; Viridiplantae; Streptophyta; Magnoliopsida; Rosales; Rosaceae.